GGGAUUGCCCUAGUAACGGCGAGUGAAGCGGCAACAGCUCAGAUUUGAAAUCUGGCCCGUCAGGGUCCGAGUUGUAAUCUGUAGAGGAUGCUUUUGGCGAGGUGCCUUCUAAGUCCCCUAGAACGGGGCGCCAUAGAGGGUGAGAGCCCCGUACAGUUGGACACCGAACCUUUGUAAAGCUCCUUCGACGAGUCGAGUAGUUUGGGAAUGCUGCUCAAAAUGGGAGGUAUAUUUCUUCUAAAGCUAAAUACCGGCCAGAGACCGAUAGCGCACAAGUAGAGUGAUCGAAAGAUGAAAAGCACUUUGAAAAGAGGGUUAAAUAGCACGUGAAAUUGUUGAAAGGGAAGCGCUUGUGACCAGACUUGCGCCCGGUGAAUCAUCCAGCGUUCUCGCUGGUGCACUUUGCCGGGCUCAGGCCAGCAUCGGUUCUCCUAGGGGGAUAAAAGUCUCGGGAACGUAGCUCUCUUCGGGGAGUGUUAUAGCCCGUGGCAUAAUACCCUUGGGGGGACCGAGGACCGCGCUCUGCAAGGAUGCUGGCGUAAUGGUCAUCAGCGACCCGUCUUGAAACACGGACCAAGGAGUCAAGCAUUAGGGCGAGUCUUUGGGUGUAAAACCCGCAGGCGCAAUGAAAGUGAACGGAGGUGAGAGCUUCGGCGCAUCAUCGACCGAUCCUGAUGUUCUCGGAUGGAUUUGAGUAAGAGCCUUACCGCUUGGACCCGAAAGAUGGUGAACUAUGCCUGAAUAGGGUGAAGCCAGAGGAAACUCUGGUGGAGGCUCGCAGCGGUUCUGACGUGCAAAUCGAUCGUCAAAUUUGGGCAUGGGGGCGAAAGACUAAUCGAACCAUCUAGUA
This 850-nucleotide ribosomal RNA is filed under the name Distoseptispora bambusae. RNAcentral's name for it is "Distoseptispora sp. YRS-2020a partial large subunit ribosomal RNA". It matches the Rfam family "Eukaryotic large subunit ribosomal RNA", at positions 71 to 949 of the family's 3401-position model. The record is from RNAcentral. Lineage: Eukaryota; Fungi; Ascomycota; Sordariomycetes; Distoseptisporaceae.